RNAcentral lists this ribosomal RNA (468 nucleotides) under uncultured bacterium. RNAcentral describes it as "partial 16S ribosomal RNA". It matches the Rfam family "Bacterial small subunit ribosomal RNA", at positions 28 to 507 of the family's 1533-position model. The record is from RNAcentral.
GACGAACGCUGGCGGCGUGCUUAACACAUGCAAGUCGAACGGAAAGGCCCUGCUUUUGUGGGGUGCUCGAGUGGCGAACGGGUGAGUAACACGUGAGUAACCUGCCCUUGACUUUGGGAUAACUUCAGGAAACUGGGGCUAAUACCGGAUAGGAGCUCCUGCUGCAUGGUGGGGGUUGGAAAGUUUCGGCGGUUGGGGAUGGACUCGCGGCUUAUCAGCUUGUUGGUGGGGUAGUGGCUUACCAAGGGUUUGGCGGAUAGCCGGCCUGGGAGGGUGACCAGCCACAAUGCGACUGAGAUACGGCCCAGACUCCUACGGGAGGCAACAGUGGGGAAUAUUGCACAGUGGGCGGAAGCCUGAGGCGACAACGCCGCGUGCGGAAUGACGGCCUUCGGGUUGUAAACCGCUUUCGCCUGUGACGAAGCGUGAGUGACGGUAAUGGGUAAAGAAGCACCGGCUAACUACGUG